RNAcentral lists this ribosomal RNA (829 nucleotides) under Escherichia coli. RNAcentral describes it as "partial 23S ribosomal RNA". It matches the Rfam family "Bacterial large subunit ribosomal RNA", at positions 2034 to 2857 of the family's 2925-position model. Lineage: Bacteria; Pseudomonadati; Pseudomonadota; Gammaproteobacteria; Enterobacterales; Enterobacteriaceae. The record is from RNAcentral.
CAGUGAAAUUGAACUCGCUGUGAAGAUGCAGUGUACCCGCGGCAAGACGGAAAGACCCCGUGAACCUUUACUAUAGCUUGACACUGAACAUUGAGCCUUGAUGUGUAGGAUAGGUGGGAGGCUUUGAAGUGUGGACGCCAGUCUGCAUGGAGCCGACCUUGAAAUACCACCCUUUAAUGUUUGAUGUUCUAACGUUGACCCGUAAUCCGGGUUGCGGACAGUGUCUGGUGGGUAGUUUGACUGGGGCGGUCUCCUCCUAAAGAGUAACGGAGGAGCACGAAGGUUGGCUAAUCCUGGUCGGACAUCAGGAGGUUAGUGCAAUGGCAUAAGCCAGCUUGACUGCGAGCGUGACGGCGCGAGCAGGUGCGAAAGCAGGUCAUAGUGAUCCGGUGGUUCUGAAUGGAAGGGCCAUCGCUCAACGGAUAAAAGGUACUCCGGGGAUAACAGGCUGAUACCGCCCAAGAGUUCAUAUCGACGGCGGUGUUUGGCACCUCGAUGUCGGCUCAUCACAUCCUGGGGCUGAAGUAGGUCCCAAGGGUAUGGCUGUUCGCCAUUUAAAGUGGUACGCGAGCUGGGUUUAGAACGUCGUGAGACAGUUCGGUCCCUAUCUGCCGUGGGCGCUGGAGAACUGAGGGGGGCUGCUCCUAGUACGAGAGGACCGGAGUGGACGCAUCACUGGUGUUCGGGUUGUCAUGCCAAUGGCACUGCCCGGUAGCUAAAUGCGGAAGAGAUAAGUGCUGAAAGCAUCUAAGCACGAAACUUGCCCCGAGAUGAGUUCUCCCUGACUCCUUGAGAGUCCUGAAGGAACGUUGAAGACGACGACGUUGAU